This is a long non-coding RNA of Aphidius gifuensis, 424 nucleotides long. RefSeq lists it as uncharacterized. Lineage: Eukaryota; Metazoa; Arthropoda; Insecta; Hymenoptera; Braconidae. The record is from RefSeq and is a predicted model, not a curated record. The transcript has 3 exons.
AUAGCAACACUGACGGCCUUCGAGACCAACUCUCUGUCACAGACUCACAGAGUCACAGUGUGAUUCUUGUCAUCAUCACCAAAAAUAAUUAUAUAUCAUAAUAUAUAUCAAUAAUUAUAGGGCAAUUUAAGAUAAUUAUUUUCAUAGUUUCAAAGAGUGUCUGUGAUUAACAAGGUCUUGACUGGACUCACCCACCACUUUUACAAUAAAGGAAUCAAAGAAAUCUACUGUUGUCAUGUAAAUAGCUGGUUACAUUCUCAUUAAUGACGUAGAUUUUCAAAUAUUGUUAUAUUGUGUAAUCACCGCAUCAUCUUAAUCAACAAGUAUCCAUUGAACAUUAAAAAGCAAUUUCACUAUCAGAGCUGGACUACCUGAUCAUCAUCAGGACAUUGAUAUCUAUAUUGACUUAUUGACAAUAUUUCAA